Pneumocystis murina is the source of this 71-nucleotide non-coding RNA. The record is from Rfam. Lineage: Eukaryota; Fungi; Ascomycota; Pneumocystomycetes; Pneumocystales; Pneumocystaceae.
GAGAGUGUAAUUCAAUGGUAGAAGCUUUGAUUCCAAAUCAAUAAGUAAAAGUUCAAGUCUUUUCACUCUUG